RNAcentral lists this ribosomal RNA (833 nucleotides) under uncultured bacterium. RNAcentral describes it as "bacterial SSU rRNA". It matches the Rfam family "Bacterial small subunit ribosomal RNA", at positions 524 to 1381 of the family's 1533-position model. The record is from RNAcentral.
UACGGGAGGAGCGAAUGUUAUCCUACUUGACUGGGUGUAAAGGGUCCUACGACGGUAAAUUAAAUUGUUAGCAUAAGAUGGAAGCACAACUUUCAAAAAAUUUUCAAGACUGAUUUACUUGAGUUUAGGAGAAGAUAAUAGAAGUUUUCAUGUAGGGAUAAAAUCCGGUAAUAUGAAAGCGAAUACCAGCGGCGAAGGCGAUUAUCUAGCUUAAACUGACGUUCAAGGACGAAAGGGUAGGGAGCGAACAGGAUUAGAGACCCUGGUAGUCUACCCCCUAAAAUAUGGGUGCCGGCUUUUAAAGUUAUUUUUAGAGGCUCAGUUUACGCGUUAAGCGCCCCACCUGGGAACUACGAUCGCAAGAUUGAAACUCAAAGGAAUUGGCGGGGACCAAAGCAAGUGGUGGAGCAUGUGGUUUAAUGCGAUAAUCCGCGCAAAAACUUACCAGUUCUUGUAUUUUUUUUUUGAGAAAGAAAAACAAGUGUUGCAUGGCUGUCGAAAGCCCGUGUUUAAGAUAUUUGGUUUACUCCAUUAACGGGCGAAACCCUUGAUAUUAGUAUUUGUAAAAUUAUAGAUGAAUUAAACAAUACCUAAUAUGAUUAUUAAAUACGAAAGUAAUUGAAAAGGGACUAUGACAAGUCCUUAUGGCCUUUAUGAACUGGGCUACACAUGUGCUACAAUGGUUACUACAAAGAGAAGCAAUAAAGCGAUUUAAAGCAAAUCUCUAAAGGUAACCUUAGUUCAGAUUAUAGAUUGGAACUCAUCUAUAUGAAGCUGGAAUCACUAGUAAUCGUGAAUCAAAAGCGUCACGGUGAAUAAGACUCGUGAGGUCU